Molecule: ribosomal RNA, 373 nt
Filed under: uncultured bacterium
Lineage: Bacteria
Description: bacterial SSU rRNA
Rfam family: Bacterial small subunit ribosomal RNA
Source: RNAcentral
AUACGUAGGAGGCGAGCGUUGUCCGGAUUUACUGGGUAUAAAGGGUCCGCAGGCGGAUUGACAAGUCGGUGGUGAAAUCCUUCAGCUUAACUGAGGAGCUGCCGUCGAUACUGUUGAUCCUGAAUACAGGAGAGGGUAACGGAAUUCCAGGUGUAGCGGUGAAAUGCUUAGAUAUCUGGAAGAACACCGGUAGCGAAGGCUGUUGCCUGGCCUGGUAUUGACGCUCAGGGGCGAAAGCGUGGGGAUCAAACAGGAUUAGAUACCCUGGUAGUCCACGCUGUAAACGAUGGAUACUCGGUGUUGGCCUGAAAGGGUCGGUGCCUAAGCAAACGCAGUAAGUAUCCCACCUGGGAAGUACGAUCGCAAGGUUGAA